UGGGUAAAGACUCUCAGAACCAUGGCGAUUCGGGAGACUACAAUCAAUCAUUACUUGAAGAACAUAGCACAGUUUAUGGACUAUGUGGCCGCAACACCCCCUCCGAGCUGCCGCCUCUCCAAGAGGGUCUUGCUCUCGAUCAGAAGGGAAGUGAGGAUGAUGCUGCGGUGCAUGAAGCGCCCGGUCACUUUGCACCAAAUGACGGUGAAGCGGGCCAAAUACGGGCAGCUCAUCUCCAAGGCCCUCUUGAAGAAGUGCAGGGAGGAGGCCAGACAGAAAAUUCCCCAAAUUAUCGAUGAGCUGGAAAAUACCAAGGCUCAGAAGACCCAGUUCCGAUUUUAUGGGUAUUUGACAGCGUUCCUGGCCUCGAUCUAUGGUCACCGCUGCGGGGUCUUCCAAAGCAUGACCAUAGAUGAGGUCAACUUGCAGAAGACCAACCAGGCCUUCGGACCGGCACAAAUUGCACUCUCCGCAGAGGAGUACAGCUGGUUCGAGCUGUUCCUGGCGAUGAGGAAGGAAUUGGUGGGCGGGGUCGAGGCCAAGCUAGUUUUUUUUACAUUAGUACAAAUCCGUGCAAAAAUCUGAACAGCCACUUUCAGGCAGCUUGGAAGGAGAUGGGGCUUCCAAAAUACCCCACAUUCACAGACCUCCGGUCGGGCAUCGCCACUCAUGCCAGGAACAAUGGCACCGUUGAGGACCGAUCAAAACUGUCCCGUUUCAUGUGUCACGACACAAGGACUGCGGACAAGUUCUACGCAUGUAACCUAAAUACCAAGGAGGCAUGGGAGCACAGGCAGCUCUUCGAGAAGGUGCUGGAGAGGGGCCUGACGUGCCGGACGAGCCCAUCGGCAAGGCCGGCAAGAGGCCUUGCAAGCGAAAGCGAAGUGACAAUGCGUCUCCGCUCACCUCACAGACCACAACUGAGGAUGAAGCGGAGUUGGGAGGUCUACCAGGAGUUGGGAGUGUCCUCGGUGGAUUCGGAAGAGAUAGAACUCAUCCGAUUGCGACCCAUCUAAGGCCCAGCCAUCCAUGGCCAAGCCUAUGAGGCAGGCAGCCAUUGUCCUGACGCCUCUGAGAAUUAGAUGGUCCCCGGCAGAGUCACCUUACAAGCUUUCCAAAGAAUACCCCUCCAGCGCCUGGUUCAGUGCCUGUCCUGCUCCAGCGAUCCUUUGCUCCGCACCUGACCCGCGUUUCCCCCGCCCCAGAGUUCCCCGACUACUCCACCCCUACCCAGCUCCACCUGUUCCCUGUUCUGCCAUCCCCGUUGUUUGUUGUUUUUGUUCCUGACCUUCCCAGCUCCUGCCUCACCUCCCCAAUACCCCUUUAAGGGGUUUUCCUGUAAAUAGUUCCAUUUCAUGUUUUUACUUGUUUGUUAUCGUUCUGAUGUUCCAAUGUGUUUUUUAUUAUGUUCAAUAAAUGUUCCACCUUAUGUUUUAAAUGUC
Triplophysa dalaica is the source of this 1442-nucleotide RNA transcript. RefSeq lists it as uncharacterized. The transcript has 5 exons. The record is from RefSeq and is a predicted model, not a curated record. Lineage: Eukaryota; Metazoa; Chordata; Actinopteri; Cypriniformes; Nemacheilidae.